This 406-nucleotide ribosomal RNA is filed under the name uncultured bacterium. RNAcentral's name for it is "partial 16S ribosomal RNA". It matches the Rfam family "Bacterial small subunit ribosomal RNA", at positions 30 to 526 of the family's 1533-position model. The record is from RNAcentral.
AUUGAACGCUGGCGGCAGGCCUAACACAUGCAAGUCGAACGAGUGGCGGACGGGUGAGUAAUGUCUGGGAAACUGCCUGAUGGAGGGGGAUAACUACUGGAAACGGUAGCUAAUACCACGUACCAUCGGAUGUGCCCAGGUGGGCUUAGCUAGUUGGUGGGGUAAAGGCUCACCAAGGCGACGCUCCCUAGCUGGUCUGAGAGGAUGACCAGCCACACUGGAACUGAGACACGGCCCAGACUCCUACGGGAGGCGGCAGUGGGGAAUAUUGCACAAUGGGCGCAAGCCUGAUGCAGCCAUGCCGCGUGAAUGAAGAAGGCCUUCGGGUUGUAAAGUACUUUCAGUGGGGAGGCGUUACCCGCAGAAGAAGCACCGGCUAACUCCGUGCCAGCAGCCGCGGUAAUAC